GUGGGGAACAGCUGAAUCAGCCAAACUCAGAUUGACAAGAGGCAAACUCAAGCUGCAGUGUUUGCACUCCUAAGUCUUCCCUCCUUGGCCUAUGAUCAACAUGAAGGCAGAUUCGGUUUUUCUUCGCUCACCACCCAUUGGUCAGUGGGGUUCUUUUAGACACACUGAGACAUUCCCUACCGUGACUGUGAUGGGCUGAACCAGAGGUGCACCUGGUCCAAUAUUCAUCUCACAAGUGGCUAUGAACAGAUGCUAGGGAACUGCAGAGAAGGCAUAUAUGGAACUUCUUGCAAGUGCGUGCCUAGCUUCCAAUUAUUUUUAGCAGAGAAUUUCCACAGCUGGACGUGGCUGCUGUCUGCUUCCUAAGCCUCCUUGGGCUUAUUUUCCAACUACUUGUCCAUUUUUUCUUUGACUCCAAGUUAUUAUUAUUAUUAAUAUUAUUAUUAUUUUAAUCGAGCCUCCUUUAGUCGUAAAUACUGUAAGUCUACCGGGGCUGUUUGGAGAUCCACCUCCUC
RNAcentral lists this long non-coding RNA (515 nucleotides) under Gallus gallus (chicken). Lineage: Eukaryota; Metazoa; Chordata; Aves; Galliformes; Phasianidae. The record is from RNAcentral.